Brassica napus (rape) is the source of this 1820-nucleotide long non-coding RNA. RefSeq lists it as uncharacterized. NCBI's taxonomy places the organism in Eukaryota, Viridiplantae, Streptophyta, Magnoliopsida, Brassicales, Brassicaceae. The transcript is spliced from 4 exons. The record is from RefSeq and is a predicted model, not a curated record.
CCAAGUUCUCAUGCAAUAAAUGUAAUUUUAUUUUAUGAAAAUACUUAUUCAAGUAUAAAAAGUUUAUUGUUAAUUUAUUUUGGAUUUUUCAAAAGCAUGGAUCAUUUAGUUUGUUGAUUUCUGAAUUGAUUUACAAGAUGAUUGAUUAUGUGGAUGCUGCAUUCGCGGACAAAACACAUAAUCUAUUAUUAUCGACGGCGACACGGUGACGUUUGUGCUUCUUCUCAUCACCAAUCCAUUUCCAAUCAAACGUUCAGAUCAACUGGAAAGACAACAAUGGAGACAUUCUUGAAUGAUGUCCGAAUUGGGACGAGCGGAGCUUCGAUUUUGGCUAAUUGAUUUGUUUGGAAUUUCUGGGAAGCGAGGAACACGGCGAAGGGGCAUUUUAAUUGGUCUAUAGCUCCUGCUUAUUGACGAACAGGUUAGAACUCUGUGUUGAUUAAUUUUACUGCUUCCAUUGGUUCCUAUUAACUAAUACCAUUCUGCGAAAGGCAACUGAGCGUGGACAAGAAUACAUUCUUAUUAUUUUCUUUGCAACAAAAAAAAAAAGAAAAGGUUCUGCAACUCCAGUUGGUGAUUUUGGAAAUAUGAAGAAGUGCAAGCAAGAAGCUUUAUCAGACAUUUAAUCUGCUAGAAGACUAAACUAAAAGAACUCAAGGUUCUUAUCAUCAUGGAGCAUAAACAUCCUCUACCCAGUUUUUCCACAACAAUUGACGCUCAACGUAAUUCUUCACAACAAAAUCCUCCUCAUAUCAGGUUAUGGCAAAUCGCAGAUUGUUAGAUGCAUCUGAUGGUUAUAGACUAUGAGAAUUAUGGAAUACCUAAUGCCGAGUACCAUUCAAUUGUGAGGAGGCGGUAGAGAAGUUGAUUCCGUUCUCCAGGUGGUGCGCUGCUUUGAGGACAACGAUAUUUAUCAUGUCGGUGGCAAAGUAAAUCCCACGUCUGGCCUUGAUUUCAUCAAUCUCAAACUCAUUUUCUGCGACUUGGAUCAGAUUUGUAAAAUACUCGAGAGACUUACGAAAUGCAAGGCAAGAGGAUUCACAAUCUAAAGUCAAAGAAAACUAUUGUCUGAAUGCCUUUGGUAUAAUUGUAGUGUGCUUUAUAGUGAUAUUGCAGUAGAUGUGUAGCUACGUAGUCUAGACAAGUAAAUUAAGAAAACACGAAGGAUCAGUUUAGCUUCUAUAGAUAAUGGGAUUUGAUGUAUUUGAUUCACUAAAUGAAUGGAGUUAGAGCUUUACAAAAAAAUGUUUCUUUUAUUGCAUAUCUUUUGGCGAUUUUUGACCCGUUCAAACUAAUGUGUUAUAUAUGCACACAACUGUUCUGAUGGAUCAAGAUUUCUUGCAGGGAAAUUGAGAAAUUAAAAUUAUCUGAGAUGUCAAGCAAAUAAGGCGUCAUUGAAGUGGCGAAGAUGUGAGCAGUGCUUGCUUCUCAUAUACUCAACUUCAGUAGUAAACUUUUGUGAUUCUCUUUAUAACGACCGAUGAUUUGUUUGAAACCAUAUAUGUUUUUGAAUCCUCACAGUUUCAUUUUAGAGCAAGAUCUAAAGUGAGGUACAUGUGCAGCAUUUACAAGCUACACGAUGAAGCCAAAUACAAGGUCUUCAUGCGCUGGAUAUCUGAUGAGUCAAAAUGGGAGCACCAAUUUAAAUGUUGUUCUAAAGAUGGUGUAAAGAAAUGCUGUUCUAAAGCUUCCGAUAAACCAUGUUUUGUUCUUGGAUAUGAUCUUGCAACUUUGAAUUUAAUAAUUUAUUAUUUUGUUUGACUUAAUAAUUAUUAAGUUGUCAAAAUUCGUUUAUAAAAAAAUUAACAAAUAUUAGCUCU